Molecule: long non-coding RNA, 635 nt
Organism: Nicrophorus vespilloides
Lineage: Eukaryota; Metazoa; Arthropoda; Insecta; Coleoptera; Silphidae
Exons: 2
Source: RefSeq, a predicted model, not a curated record
CAUAACCUUCAAAAUAUUAUCAAUAAAGAAAGAAACACCGCAAAUAAGAAGUCUUACCCAGGAAGAAGUAUUUCAAAUGAUGGAUUGGAAUAAUCGAUUUGUAAAGCUUAUAUCGCCUCAAGGCGAAGUAAACUUGGUUCCCCCAAUGCUAAUAUCGAGAUUCAGCAAUCUCGAAAUAAAUCCAAUGGAUAAUUCAAUCAAGGAUAAUAAUAUGCUUUUUAGUUCAUUUCUUAUUAUGGGCGAUGUUGUGGAUAUACAAUGUCAGAGAGGAAAAUAUUUUUUGAAAAUUGAUGAUGGCACUGGUAUAAUGGAAAUGAUGAUGAUAAGUUCUGAUGAAGAGAAGCAGCAAUACUUGUAUGAGACUUCAAAAAUAAAUCCUGAGGAUUAUCUAAUGAAUUUGGUGAAACUGGUACGAGAGGAAAUGACGAAUACCUGCCCACCUGUUUCUAGUUUAAAGAUCGGCGAUUGCCUAUUGAUCCAUGCCCAAAUAUCAAGUAAGAAAAACGAAGACGAAUGCAAAAUCAGCGCUUUCAAGUUUCAUAGGAUGCCCAAACUCAAUGUAACUGAAAAGAAGUAUGACUGGUACUUUAGUUGUUUGAAUUACUACUUGAAGAAGAUGAAUAAACCAUAACUAA